UGACCGGGACGGCCCGGUCUCUCUGGACGGGCAAUAGCCGGGACGGCCCGG
RNAcentral lists this non-coding RNA (51 nucleotides) under Pannonibacter phragmitetus. RNAcentral's name for it is "Guanidine-II sequence". It matches the Rfam family "Guanidine-II riboswitch aptamer (mini-ykkC)". Rfam says of the family: Simpler in structure and has fewer highly conserved nucleotide positions than the ykkC-yxkD leader. Despite this each of its two stem-loop structures directly bind free guanidine. Lineage: Bacteria; Pseudomonadati; Pseudomonadota; Alphaproteobacteria; Hyphomicrobiales; Stappiaceae. The record is from Rfam by way of RNAcentral.